AACACCUGCAGGACAGCAGAGCCCUGACCUCCACCUCCACACAGGGCCUUAUCCUACAGAGGAAAAAGCAAGAGUCAGGACAGCCUGGACACCCCUUCAAUCCAUGCUGCUGUGUGGUCUCUUGCAAAUGACUUGACCUCUCUGGGCUUCAGGUUUCACAUCUAAAGGGGACUCAUGUGUCGUGCUUAGUGCAGGCCUGGUAUGCAUGUCUGCCCAAUAGAUGCUGACCUAAUAGCCAGGUUAUUAUUAUCAUUAUUGUAUCGGCCCAGGAAAUGGUCGUGCAAAUUCCUUGCCAACCCCGGUUUCUGUAGCUGAGAAGUAGGAGUCUUGCUGCCAGAGGGCAGUGCCAGAGACUGGCUCCUGCCCCGAGUCCUCUUGGCUUCUGUCCAGUCCAAGCACUGACAGCCCAGAAAGUUCUGCAGAACCAGUUCCCUGGCUGGCGUGAGUCUCUCAGAACUUGGAACUAGCAGAUUUGGCUGCCUGGACAGUGAGCCCCAGGGACCCCCAUCUCUGCCUCCCCAGCCUGAAGACCUAAGCUUGAUCCCCACAACCCCACAUGAAGCUGGAUUUCCACUCCCCAAGAAUCGCUGAUGGUAGAGAGAGUUGAGGUGGAGGAGGCCAGUGGAGGACCUGGGCAGGCGGGCUUUGAGGGACCUCAGUCCUGGAAAGCGAUGUCACCCUGUAAGAUCCGACUUCAGGCAGAAGUGGUCGUUUUCUCUCUUCUUUACGCCUCCUUAUUUUUUUGAUUAUUUCUUACAUCGCUUUAUUUUUCUAAUAUAAAAGCCAUUGCUGCAAA
Molecule: long non-coding RNA, 796 nt
Organism: Peromyscus eremicus (cactus mouse)
Lineage: Eukaryota; Metazoa; Chordata; Mammalia; Rodentia; Cricetidae
Exons: 3
Source: RefSeq, a predicted model, not a curated record